UUGCUCUUCAACGAGGAAUUCCUAGUAAGCGUGAGUCAUCAGCUCGCGUUGAUUACGUCCCUGCCCUUUGUACACACCGCCCGUCGCUACUACCGAUUGAAUGGCUUAGUGAGCCUUUGGGAUCGGCAGCUUGGACCGUCGCCGGUCGCAGGCCGCUGAAAACUUAUGCAAACUUGGUCAUUUAGAGGAAGUAAAAGUCGUAACAAGGUUUCUGUAGGUGAACCUGCAGAAGGAUCAUUAGUGAAGCAUGGGCAGCCAUACGGAUAUGCAAAACUGCGUGUCCCUGGCGCCUAACCCACUAUAUCCACCUAACCCCUGUGCACUGUGUGCGGAUGCGAUGAUUGUUCAUUGCGUCCGCCCAAGUAUAAACUCGUAUGGUUGUAUGUACGUGGAAAAAGUAGGACAAACCUACGAACCAAACACAACUUUCGACAACGGAUCUCUUGGUUCUCCCAUCGAUGAAGAACGCAGCGAAACGCGAUAGGUAAUGUGAAUUGCAGAAUUCCGUGAAUCAUCGAAUCUUUGAACGCAACUUGCGCUCCAUGGUAUUCCGUGGAGCAUGCCUGUUUGAGUGCCGCGAAUUCUCCCUCCCCAUGCGGUGGCCGCAAGGCCGGAGCGUGGCGGUUAGGGGUAGGAUGGGUGCCCUGCCUGGCGGCUUGGACCGCUAGGCUCGCCCGAAAUGCAUAAGCGCCAGGACCCUCGCUACUGCUCUCUAGGGAAGAGCAGCCGAGCGACCGCUGAGCAUGGCAUGAUACGUCAUUUGCUAUGUGUGGGCGGCCGGACGGAGAGGUGUCUGCUUUAUAACAGCCCUUUUUGAUUCUGGUCUCAAAUCAGGUAGGAUCACCCGCUGAACUUAAGCAUAUCAAUAAGCGGAGGA
Molecule: ribosomal RNA, 877 nt
Filed under: uncultured fungus
Lineage: Eukaryota; Fungi
Description: eukaryotic LSU rRNA
Rfam family: Eukaryotic small subunit ribosomal RNA (bases 1-240)
Source: RNAcentral